This 389-nucleotide ribosomal RNA is filed under the name Phaeocystis sp. RNAcentral describes it as "partial small subunit ribosomal RNA". It matches the Rfam family "Eukaryotic small subunit ribosomal RNA", at positions 582 to 975 of the family's 1831-position model. The record is from RNAcentral. Lineage: Eukaryota; Haptophyta; Phaeocystales; Phaeocystaceae.
AUUCCAGCUCCAAUAGCGUAUAUUAAAGUUGUUGCAGUUAAAAAGCUCGUAGUCGGAUUUCGGGGCGGGCCGGGCGGUCUGCCGAUGGGUAUGCACUGUUCGGCGCGUCCUUCUUUCUGGAGACCGCGCCUACUCUUAGCUGAGCGGGCGUGGGAGACGGAUCGUUUACUUUGAAAAAAUCAGAGUGUUUCAAGCAGGCAGCUCGCUCUUGCAUGGAUUAGCAUGGGAUAAUGAAAUAGGACUCUGGUGCUAUUUUGUUGGUUUCGAACACCGGAGUAAUGAUUAACAGGGACAGUCAGGGGCACUCGUAUUCCGUCGAGAGAGGUGAAAUUCUCAGACCAAUGGAAGACGAACCACUGCGAAAGCAUUUGCCAGGGAUGUUUUCAUCA